CACACCUCUGAGUCACAGAUAUGGAAGACCUAGAAAGAAAAAAAGAGAAUAUGAAUUUUGUCUACUCAACGCUUUCAUCUGCCCUGGAGAUGUUGAAAUUUCUUUCCAGAAGGUUUCAUGGCCAUAAACAAGGUUGGAAAGUGCUUCAUAAUAGCUCUCAUGAGUCAUGUCCAACAAAGAAGUCCUAAGGUCAGAAGGCAGAAGACAUGAGGUCCAGUUCUAGCUCAGCCAUUAACCAAGAGACCUCAAGAUCUUUAGCCUCCCUGUGCCUCAGUGUUCUCCAUUGCAACAUGGAAGUCAUAACGUCUGCUCUGCCUAUUUCACAGGACGGUUGUAAGAAUAUGACAAGAGAGCAGAUGUGAAAGUUUCAAAGGCCAUGUAGAAGCCCUCAAGGACCAAAGUCAGGUUUGUCUCCUACUUUCUCCAGCUGAAGAAAUAUUCAUCCUAGUGAGACCAGGCAGCGCUAAGUGCUAGCCUCCUUGGAGCUCAG
Long non-coding RNA from Choloepus didactylus (southern two-toed sloth), 490 nucleotides. RefSeq lists it as uncharacterized. The record is from RefSeq and is a predicted model, not a curated record. The transcript is spliced from 4 exons. NCBI's taxonomy places the organism in Eukaryota, Metazoa, Chordata, Mammalia, Pilosa, Megalonychidae.